RNAcentral lists this ribosomal RNA (508 nucleotides) under uncultured bacterium. RNAcentral describes it as "partial 16S ribosomal RNA". It matches the Rfam family "Bacterial small subunit ribosomal RNA", at positions 28 to 523 of the family's 1533-position model. The record is from RNAcentral.
GAUGAACGCUAGCUACAGGCUUAACACAUGCAAGUCGGGGGGAAACGAUAUUGGAAGCUUGCUUCCGAUAGGCGUCGACCGGCGCACGGGUGAGUAACGCGUAUCCAACCUGCCCAUCACUUGGGGAUAACCUUGCGAAAGUAAGACUAAUACCCAAUGACGUCUCUAGAAGACAUCUGAAAGAGAUUAAAGAUUUAUCGGUGAUGGAUGGGGAUGCGUCUGAUUAGCUUGUUGGCGGGGUAACGGCCCACCAAGGCGACGAUCAGUAGGGGCUAUGAGAGGAAGGACCCCCACAUUGGAACGGAGACACGGUCCAAACUCCUACGGGAGGCAGCAGCGAUGAAUAUUGUUCAAUGGGCUAGAGCCUGAACCAGCCAAGUAGCGUGCAGGAUGACGGCCAUAUGGGUUGUAAACUGCUUUUAUAAGGGAAUAAAGUGAGCCACGUGUGGCUUUUUGCAUGUACCUUAUGAAUAAGGACCGGCUAAUUCCGUGCCAGCAGCCGCCGUAA